RNAcentral lists this ribosomal RNA (253 nucleotides) under uncultured bacterium. Its description in RNAcentral is "partial 16S ribosomal RNA". It matches the Rfam family "Bacterial small subunit ribosomal RNA", at positions 524 to 776 of the family's 1533-position model. The record is from RNAcentral.
GACAGAGGGUGCAAACGUUGUUCGGAAUUACUGGGCGUAAAGCGUGUGUAGGCGGCUCUGCAAGUCGGAUGUGAAAGCCCUGGGCUCAACCUAGGAAGUGCAUUCGAAACUGCAGAGCUCGAGUCCUGGAGAGGAAGGCGGAAUUCUCGGUGUAGAGGUGAAAUUCGUAGAUAUCGAGAGGAACACCGGUGGCGAAGGCGGCCUUCUGGACAGUGACUGACGCUGAGACACGAAAGCGUGGGGAGCAAACAGG